GGAGAGGUGUCCGAGUGGUUUAAGGAGCACGCCUGGAAAGCGUGUGUGUGGAGCAAUCUGCACCGCGGGUUCGAAUCCCGCCCUCUCCGCCA
RNAcentral lists this transfer RNA (92 nucleotides) under Deinococcota bacterium. RNAcentral's name for it is "tRNA-Ser". It matches the Rfam family "tRNA". Rfam says of the family: Transfer RNA (tRNA) molecules are approximately 80 nucleotides in length. Their secondary structure includes four short double-helical elements and three loops (D, anti-codon, and T loops). The record is from RNAcentral. Lineage: Bacteria; Thermotogati; Deinococcota.